RNAcentral lists this ribosomal RNA (740 nucleotides) under uncultured bacterium. RNAcentral describes it as "bacterial SSU rRNA". It matches the Rfam family "Bacterial small subunit ribosomal RNA", at positions 21 to 762 of the family's 1533-position model. The record is from RNAcentral.
GGCUCAGGAUGAACGCUAGCGGCAGGCUUAACACAUGCAAGUCGAGGGGUAUAGUUCUUCGGAAUUAGAGACCGGCGCACGGGUGCGUAACGCGUAUGCAAUCUACCUUUCACAGAGGGAUAGCCCAGAGAAAUUUGGAUUAAUACCUCAUAGUAUAUAGAAGUGGCAUCACUUUUAUAUUAAAGUCACAACGGUGAAAGAUGAGCAUGCGUCCCAUUAGCUAGUUGGUAAGGUAACGGCUUACCAAGGCAACGAUGGGUAGGGGUCCUGAGAGGGAGAUCCCCCACACUGGUACUGAGACACGGACCAGACUCCUACGGGAGGCAGCAGUGAGGAAUAUUGGUCAAUGGACGCAAGUCUGAACCAGCCAUGCCGCGUGCAGGAUGACGGUCCUAUGGAUUGUAAACUGCUUUUGUACAGGAAGAAACAACUCUACGUGUAGAGUCUUGACGGUACUGUAAGAAUAAGGAUCGGCUAACUCCGUGCCAGCAGCCGCGGUAAUACGGAGGAUCCAAGCGUUAUCCGGAAUCAUUGGGUUUAAAGGGUCCGUAGGCGGUUUAGUAAGUCAGUGGUGAAAGCCCAUCGCUCAACGGUGGAACGGCCAUUGAUACUGCUAGACUUGAAUUAUUAGGAAGUAACUAGAAUAUGUAGUGUAGCGGUGAAAUGCUUAGAGAUUACAUGGAAUACCAAUUGCGAAGGCAGGUUACUACUAAUUGAUUGACGCUGAUGGACGAAAGCGU